RNAcentral lists this microRNA precursor (81 nucleotides) under Plutella xylostella (diamondback moth). RNAcentral's name for it is "mir-2767 microRNA precursor family". It matches the Rfam family "mir-2767 microRNA precursor family". The record is from Rfam by way of RNAcentral. Lineage: Eukaryota; Metazoa; Arthropoda; Insecta; Lepidoptera; Plutellidae.
UUUCGUAGUCGUCUCAAGUAAAUCUCGUGCGGCUGCUGUUUCAUCCACAGGCGCUCUAGAUUUCCUUCUGAUGACUAUGGA